GCGCGGUUAGCUCAGCGGGAGAGCACUACCUUGACACGGUAGGGGUCACAGGUUCAAUCCCUGUACCGCGCA
This 72-nucleotide transfer RNA is filed under the name Methylacidimicrobium cyclopophantes. RNAcentral describes it as "Verrucomicrobia bacterium 3b tRNA". It matches the Rfam family "tRNA". Rfam says of the family: Transfer RNA (tRNA) molecules are approximately 80 nucleotides in length. Lineage: Bacteria; Pseudomonadati; Verrucomicrobiota. The record is from Rfam by way of RNAcentral. RNAcentral also lists the same sequence under 2 other names.